Long non-coding RNA from Nerophis ophidion (straightnose pipefish), 5987 nucleotides. RefSeq lists it as uncharacterized. The record is from RefSeq and is a predicted model, not a curated record. The transcript is spliced from 2 exons. NCBI's taxonomy places the organism in Eukaryota, Metazoa, Chordata, Actinopteri, Syngnathiformes, Syngnathidae.
UAACAACACCAACAGAGGUGUAACAACACAUACAGAGGUGUAACAACACAUACAGAGAUGUAACAACACCAACAGAGAUGUAACAACACCAACAGAGAUGUAACAACACCAACAGAGAUGUAACAACACCAACAGAGAUGUAACAACACCAACAGAGGUGUAACAACACCAACAGAGGUGUAACAACACCAACAGAGGUGUAACAACACCAACAGAGGUGUAACAACACCAACAGAGGUGUAACAACACCAACAGAGGUGUAACAACACCAACAGAGGUGUAACAACACCAACAGAGGUGUAACAACACCAACAGAGAUGUAACAACACCAACAGAGGUGUAACAACACCAACAGAGGUGUAACAACACCAACAGAGGUGUAACAACACCAACAGAGGUGUAACAACACCAACAGAGGUGUAACAACACCAACAGAGGUGUAACAACACCAACAGAGGUGUAACAACACCAACAGAGGUGUAACAACACCAACAGAGGUGUAACAACACCAACAGAGGUGUAACAACGCCAACAGAGAUGUAACAACACCAACAGAGAUGUAACAACACCAACAGAGAUGUAACAACACCAACAGAGGUGUAACAACACCAACAGAGGUGUAACAACACCAACAGAGGUGUAACAACACCAACAGAAGUGUAACAACACCAACAGAGACGGAUUCAAGUUGCAACAGUGGUCAAAAGACGCAAAAGUCCCUCGUUUGUUGUGCACACUUUACCGACGACAGCUAUGCUACGACAGAGAUGGCAAGAAUGUGUGGAUAUCCUGCGACACUCAAACAAAUGCAUUUCCAACGAUAAAGUCAACGAAAUCACAAAGUUGAGUUUUGUUGAUGUUAUUGACUUAUGUGCUAAUCAGACAUAUUUGGUCACGGCAUGACUGCAAGCUAAUCGAUGCUAACAUGCUAUGUAGGCUAGCUGUAUGUACAUAUUGCAUCAUUAUGCCUCAUUUGUAGCUAUAUUUGCAUCCUGUCUUUCCCUCCACUUACAUUUAAUGCCAAACAAACACAUACCAAUCGUUGGUUAGAAGGCGAUCGCCGAAUUCGUCCUCGCUUCCUCCCGUGCCGCUGUCUGUCGUGAUAUGGCUUUAAUUUCCUUUUCGGUACCUGCCUCCACACUCCAACCAUCCGUUUCAAUACAUGCGUAAUCCGCUGAAUCGCUUACGGCACUGAAAUCCGAGUCUGAAUCCGAGCUACUGUGCUAUACCUUUCUGUGCUAUCCGCCAUGUUUGUUUUUGGUGGCUUCCCGCAGUGACGUCACAGGACAAUAGACGGGUGGAUGUAGCGAUGGUGUGAAUCAGGCACUUUGAAGCCGUUUUUCGGGAUAUUGCGUAAUGGGUAAAAUUUUGAGAAAAACUUCGAAAAAUAAAAUAAGCCACUGGGAACUGAUUUUUAUUGGUUUUAACCAUUCAGAAAUUGUGAUAAUAUUCCCCUUUAAAAUUCAAAAUUCAACCGAAAAAUUAAGAGAAAAACUAGCUAAUUCGAAUAUUUUUGAAAAAAUUAAAAAAAUAAUUUUUGGAACAUCAUUAGUAAUUUUUCCUGAUUAAGAUUAAUUUUGGAAUUUUGAUGACAUGUUUUAAAUAGGUUAGAAUAUAUAACAAAUUGGACCAAGCUAUAUUUCUAACAAAGAUAAAUCAUUAUUUCUUCUAGAUUUACCAGAACAAAAAUUUUAAAAUAAAUUCUAAACACUUUAAAAUAAGAUCUAAAUUUGAUUUGUCAAGAAUAAUUUUUUACAUUUUUAAUCAUAAUACGUUUGAAGAAAUAUUUCACAAAUAUUCUUUGUCGAAAAAACAGAAGCUAAAAUUCAAUUUCGACUCUUUAAAAUUCAAAAUUCAACCGGAAAAAAAAAGAGAAAAAACUAGCUAAUUCAAAUCUUUUUGAAAAAAUUUAAAAAAGAAUUCAUGGAACAUCAUUAGUAUUUUUUCCUGAUUAAGAUACAUUUUAAAAUGUUGAUGACAUGUUUUAAAUAGGUUAAAAUCCAAUCAGCACUUUGUUAGAAUAUUUAACAAAUUGGACCAAGCUAUAUUUCUUACAAAGACAAAUCAUUAUUUCUUCUAGAUUUUCCAGAACUUUAAAAUAAAUUCAAAUGACUUUGAAAUAAGAUUUAAAUUUGAUUCUACAGAUUUUCUAGAUUUGCCAGAAUAUAUUUUUUUUAAUUUUAAUCAUAAUAAGUUUGAAGAAAUAUUUCACAUAUAUUCUUCGUCGAAAAAACAGAAGCUAAAAUGAAGAAUUACAUUAAAAUGUAUUCAUUAUUCUUUACAAUAAAAAAAAAAAAUUCACUUGAACAUCGAUUUAAAUUGUCAGGAAAGAAGAGGAAGGAAUUUAAAAGGUAAAAAUGUAUACGUGUUUAAAAAUCCUAAAAUAAUUUUUAAGGUUGGAUUUUUUCUCUAAAAUUGUCUUUCUGAAAGUUAUAAAAAGCAAAGUAAAAAAAUAAAUGAAUUUAUCUAAACAAGUGAAGACCAAGUCUUUAAAAUAUUUUCUCGGAUUUUCAAAUUCUAUUGGAGUUUUGUCUCUCUUAGAAUUAAAAAUGUCCAGCAAAACGAGACCAGCUUGCUAGUAAAUAAAUACAAUUUAAAAAAUAGAGGCAGCUCACUGGUAAGUGCUGCUAUUUGAGCUAUUUCUAGAACAGACCUGGCGACCUGGUUGGUGACCCCUGAUGUACAAUCUCUCCCACUUAAGGCGUCCUUCUCACUCCUUACAGUAUCAAACUACGUUCACACUGCAGGGCAGAUGUCCAAUCUGAUGUUUUUAUGGAGUCGUUGACGUUUCUAUAAAAACCAAAAAAAGUCCAACGCAAUCCGACCCGCCCUCGCCGUCUCCACGCCACACAAACAUGGCUCCCGUUCACAUGUGUUCAACCUCGACAUUUUUUUACCGGGCGGAGACGAUUAAGAAGGAAGAAGUUAAACAUGCUUCAAUAACACCACUUUUUUUGUUUUAUUCUAAAAUACAUUUUCGCACUUUUGUCAAAACGUCCCCGAACUUUUCUCAUUUGUUUGUGCUGCAAUUAUUUUGUAUAUUUUUUGUUAUGAUUGAUAGUUUGAAUAUUAUAAUUUAUUUAUUUUGUAUGUUAUUGUUAGUUUUGUGAUUCAAACAUUUAUCGUCUUUUAUCAUUUUAAUGUUAACAUUUUAUUAUUCAUAACCAGUCGCCCUUAAAUCUCCCUCAAUGUUUGUGUUGCAAUUUUUUUUAUUUUUUUUUUAUUGUGGUAAUAGUCUGUGAUGCAAAAAAUGUUAGUCUAUUAUAAUUUUAAUGUUAUUAAUGUGUUAUUAGUCUGCGAUAAAAAAAUGUUAAUCUAUUAUCAUUUUAAUGUUAACAUUUUAUUAUUCAUAACCAGUCCGCCCACCUUGUCAAAACCUUCCUAAAUGUUUGUGCUACAAUUGUUUUUGUCUAUUAUAGUUUUUGUUAUUAAUGUGUUAAUAGUCUGUGAUACAAAUAUUAUUAGUCUAUUAUAGUUUUAAUGUUAACAUUUUAUUAUUCAUAACCAGUCCCCCACCUUGUCAAAACCUCCCUAAACGUUUGUGCUACAAUUGUUUUUGUCUAUUAUAGUUUUUGUUAUUAAUGUGUUAAUAGUCUGUGAUACAAAUAUUAUUAGUCUAUUAUAGUUUUAAUGUUAACAUUUUAUUAUUCAUAACCAGUCCCCCACCUUGUCCAAAUCUCCCUCAACGUUUGUGCUACAAUUAUUUGUCUAUUAUAGUAUUUAUUAUUAAUGUGUUAUUAACAUGUUAUUACUUUAUGCUGCAAAAUUCUUAGUCUAUCAUAAUUUUUAUGUUAACAUUUUUAAUAUUCAUAACCAGUCCCCCACCUUGUCAAAACCUCCCUAAACGUUUGUGCUACAAUUAUUUGUCUAUUAUAGUAUUUAUUAUUAAUGUGUUAUUAACAUGUUAUUACUUUAUGCUGCAAAAUUCUUGGUCCAUCAUAAUUUUUAUGUUAACAUUUUAAUAUUCCUAACGAGUCCCCCACCUUGUCAAAACCUCCCUAAACGUUUCUGCUACAAUUGUUUUGUCUAUUAUAGUUUUUGUUAUUAAUGUGUUAUUAAUGUGUUAAUAGUCUGUGAUACAAAUAUUGUUAUUCUAUUAUAGUUUUAAUGUUAACAUUUUAUUUUUCAUAACCAGUCCCUAAACGUUUGUGCUACAAUUUUUUGUCUAUUAUAGUGUUUGUUAUUAAUGUGUUAUUAACAUGUUAUUACUUUAUGCUGCAAAAUUCUUAGUCCAUCAUAAUUUUUAUGUUAACAUUUUAUUCUUCAUAACCAGUCCCCCCUUGUCAAAAUCUGCCUAAACGUUUCUGCUACCAUUUUUUGUCUAUUAUAGUUUUUGUUAUUAAUGUGUUAUUAACAUGUUAUUACUUUAUGCUGCAAAAUUCUUAGUCCAUCAUAAUUUUUAUGUUAACAUUUUAUUCUUCAUAACCAGUCCCCCACCUUGUCAAAAUCUCCCUCAACGUUUGUGCUACAAUUAUUUGUCUAUUAUAGUAUUUAUUAUUAAUGUGUUAUUAACAUGUUAUUACUUUAUGCUGCAAAAUUCUUAGUCCAUCAUAAUUUUUUAUGGUAACAUUUUUAAUAUUCCUAACGAGUCCCCCACCUUGUCAAAACCUCCCUAAACGUUUCUGCUACAAUUUUUUUGUCUAUUAUAGUUUUUAUGUUAUUAAUGUGUUAUUAAUGUGUUGAUAGUCUGUCAUACAAAUAUUGUUAGUCUAUUAUAGUUUCAAUGUUAACAUUUUAUUUUUCUUAACCGGUCCCCCACCUUGUCAAAAUAUCCCUAAACAUUUGUGCUACAAUUAUUGUCUGCUAGUUUUUAUGUUAUUAAUGUGUUAUUAACAUGUUAAUAGUCUGUGAUACAAAUAUUGUUAGUCUAUUACAGUUUUAAUGUUAACAUUUUAUUAUUCAUAACCAGUCCCUAAACGUUUGUGCUACAAUUUUUUGUCUAUUAUGGUGUUUGUUAUUAAUGUGUUAUUAACAUGUUAUUACUUUAUGCUGCAAAAUUCUUAGUCCGUCAUAAUAUUAACAUUUUAUUCUUCAUAACGAGUCCCCCACCUUGUCAAAAUCUCCCUAAACGUUUUUGCUACAAUUUUUUUUGUCUAUUAUAUUUUUUAUGUUAUUGUGUUAUUAACAUGUUAAUAGUCUGCGAUACAAAUAUUGUUAGUCUAUUAUAGUUUUAAUGUUAACAUUUUAUUAUUCAUAACCAGCCCCCCACCUUGUCCAAACCUCCCUAAACGUUUGUGCUACAAUUUUUUGUGUAUUAUAUUUGUUAUUAAUGUGUUAUUAACAUGUUAUUAAUGUGUGCUGCAAAAUUCUUAGUCUACCGUAGUUUUUAUGUUAAUAUUUUAUUAUUCAUAACCAGUCCCCCACCUUGUCAAAACCUCCCUGAACAUUUGGGCUACAAUAUUAUUUUUUUUGGUCCAACUAUUAUCGGUUUCACGUUAUCGUGUUAACGCGUUCCUAGUUUGUGUUGCAAACAUCUUUUGUUAGCAUUUCAUUUUUCACAGCCAACUCCCCAUCAUUUCAAAACCUCCCUAAAAAUGUCUCAAAAGUUAGUGCUAUUUUUGUUGCACUUUAUUUUUAACGUCAUCCCAACUUUUCCCCCAAAUAUACCCCGGUUUUCGGUUGCCGUACGGCCGAACAUUGCAGGGAACAAACUAGACUGUUGGCGCCAAAGAAUCACACUUUUUUGAGGUCGAGUCUAUGACCUAAAAUGAUCAUCCUCGAAGAAAAUGUGUAAAUGAUUGAUAAACAAUGAAGAAAAGUCUGUAUAUCCUGAAGGACAUGUUCAUUGUUACUGACACCAGUUGUAGUCUUGCUAAAUCAAAAUGUUGUUCCGGCGAACAUCCUAAGGGACGUCCUCUGUAAAAGACAAAAAUUCUGUUUAGAAAUGUUUGUUUUAUGUUCUUGCUGUCACCUCUGCAACCUCUAAUUUGAUCUAUUUGGGUUAAAAUUAUUUUUUGUAAGCCAGUAACUAUAGUCUGCAAAUGAUG